GGCAAAUCAUCCUAUCCGGCAAUGUAAAUAAUAUUUUGCAGAGUACGCAUAGAACUCUUCGUGUUUUGAAAAUUGUGGUUGUUUUUUUUUGCUUUUUGCCGUUUUUAAGUGUUUUAAUGUUGUAAAGCUGAAUAACUUGUGUUAAGAUCUCGUCGGAAAACUACUUAGCUUGUCCAAAUCUCGGUCAACUGUUUACAAAUCCAUGACGCAACAAUAAGGAUGAUUUUGGGCGGGUUCGCGGCCACGCAAUGCAUCAAGUCGAUUUAAAUUUUCCAAGCAGGGAGACGAUUACGACUUGGCAAAAAAUAACCCGGACGGUAGCCAGCAACGAGCGGAAAGCCUAGAACAAGAUGACCAUCAACAAGUGCCGUCAACAGCCACAGGUCGUGAUUUUGCUGUUCAUCUGAUGCUGAUCUUUAACAUGGACUUGAAAAAUCUAUGUACUAACUGCUUCAAGUCUGAAUGGUCAUGACCGAGUACACCGAGCGGAAGAAGAUGUCGAGCGACAGGAUAUGCAUGGCCAUUCCAAGCCGGUGAACAGGGUCAAGGUCGUCGGUCUGGCAAGUCCGUAUCAUUUUGCUCGAUCCGGUCGAUUGUUCGACUGCCAAAAGCAUCGAGGAGGGAAUCGUCUCCACCGCGACAUGCUUAAACCUGAACGGCGUCCUGUUGAAGACGGUGCUGGAUCUAGUUUCCCACACUGGUAACCUGUUACGGAUCAACACCGGAUUAAAGUUUUGAUCGUGUCCAGACUUUUGGGGCUGAGCAUCUUUGUGAUAGAAACUGUUAACCGUUAGCGUACGCGUGCAGUGCGCCAAAGAUUACAUUUUGACCAAUAUUCGAUAUUUCAUUGACGACGUUGUAGGGUCUAAACGGUGGAAAAAGAGUGCACCUUUCGAGGCACGUUUCGUGAUGUUGUCCGGCAUGGUCGGAAUGGUUCCGUUUACAAGUCUUGCCAACAAACAAAACCCACAUCUUUACGUUCGAGACCAUCCCCAGUUCCUGUAGGGGAUUCGGGGCCUCAAAAAGUACUUUGAUGCAAUUAUU
Molecule: long non-coding RNA, 1044 nt
Organism: Culex pipiens pallens (northern house mosquito)
Lineage: Eukaryota; Metazoa; Arthropoda; Insecta; Diptera; Culicidae
Exons: 3
Source: RefSeq, a predicted model, not a curated record